RNAcentral lists this ribosomal RNA (253 nucleotides) under uncultured bacterium. RNAcentral's name for it is "partial 16S ribosomal RNA". It matches the Rfam family "Bacterial small subunit ribosomal RNA", at positions 524 to 776 of the family's 1533-position model. The record is from RNAcentral.
UACGUAGGGUGCAAGCGUUGUCCGGAAUUAUUGGGCGUAAAGAGCGUGUAGGCGGCCAUACAGGUCAGCUGUGAAAACUCGAGGCUCAACCUCGAGACGUCGGUUGAAACCGUUUGGCUAGAGUCCGGAAGAGGAGAGUGGAAUUCCUGGUGUAGCGGUGAAAUGCGCAGAUAUCAGGAAGAACACCCGUGGCUAAGGCGGCUCUCUAGUACGGUACUGACGCUGAGACGCGAAAGCGUGGGGAGCGAACAGG